RNAcentral lists this ribosomal RNA (413 nucleotides) under uncultured prokaryote. RNAcentral's name for it is "bacterial SSU rRNA". It matches the Rfam family "Bacterial small subunit ribosomal RNA", at positions 505 to 918 of the family's 1533-position model. The record is from RNAcentral.
GUGUCAGCCGCCGCGGUAAUACGAAAGGGGCUAGCGUUGUUCGGAAUUACUGGGCGUAAAGCGCGCGUAGGCGGCCUUGCAAGUUGGGGGUGAAAUCCCGGAGCUCAACUCCGGAACUGCCUUCAAAACUGCAAAGCUAGAGGAUGCGAGAGGUGAGCGGAAUUCCGAGUGUAGAGGUGAAAUUCGUAGAUAUUCGGAAGAACACCAGUGGCGAAGGCGGCUCACUGGCGCAUUUCUGACGCUGAGGCGCGAAAGCGUGGGGAGCAAACAGGAUUAGAUACCCUGGUAGUCCACGCCGUAAACGAUGAGGGCUAGUUGUCGGGCGGCUUGCCGUUCGGUGACGCAGUUAACGCAUUAAGCCCUCCGCCUGGGGAGUACGGUCGCAAGAUUAAAACUCAAAUGAAUUGACGGGG